CUUAAGCAAGUCAGCACAUACAAAGUUGAAAGACACAUCAGAACAGAGGAACCCAGCUAUUCAUUUGGCAAAUGAAAAUUUAGAGGACAUGAGGAUUCAGUCAUCAAGUAAGUCAGCAAACAUAGAGAUGAAAGACACAUCAGAGCAGAGGGACCCAGCUAUAAACCAGACAAAAAUAAAUUUCGAGGACACAAAGAAUCAGUCAAUAAACAAGUCAGCAAAUAGAGAGAUGAAAGACACAUCAGAGCCAGCCAAGGACCUUCCUUAUACACCAGGCAAGCAAAAAUCUUGAGAGGAUACAAA
Molecule: long non-coding RNA, 303 nt
Filed under: Penaeus japonicus
Lineage: Eukaryota; Metazoa; Arthropoda; Malacostraca; Decapoda; Penaeidae
Description: uncharacterized LOC122256605
Source: RNAcentral